GGCUAUAGCUCAGGGCAAGAGUUUCUGCUUUGCAGGCAGAAGGUCACAGGUUCAAUCGCUGGCGUCUCCA
This is a non-coding RNA of Podarcis lilfordi (Lilford's wall lizard), 70 nucleotides long. Lineage: Eukaryota; Metazoa; Chordata; Lepidosauria; Squamata; Lacertidae. The record is from the annotation of a GenBank genome assembly.